CUGCGCAAGAAGAGCGCGCCUAAGAAAGAACACCGUCGUGAACAGAUGCGGGAAUGUGCGCGGCGACGGCGGGCGACACAUAACACGGACGAAGACAGUGCCGCAAACGCCAAGCGCGUGCAUCUUUCGUUGGAUCACCUCUGCGGACUGCACUUUCAUCAUUAUUAUGGGUGAUUUUAACAUAGACCUGUCUCGGCCUGAUCGAUGGUGGCCGGACUGGUGUAUUGCUCAAGAGGAUCGCGGCAUUACGGCUGCUGAACGCAAGCCCCUGGAGUGCUCUAUCGCGCAUGCGUACAGCUGGACGGCUGUCUCAUCCACUGGCGGUCAACCAUCGGCGGGCCGGGGCGUUAUCACCUUGACUGGUUAUGACGUGGUACCUCACGCCGACUACAUAAAGCCUUGCAUUCUCGGGAAACGUUGCAGCGGCAGGCCGCUUCGUCAAGCUAAACCCUGUUUUCAUUCUUGGCAGUGAUGUUCAAAUCGGCCGAAGUUACCGGAAACUGCAAGAAUUCGGUGGGACUUGGACAACUCGUCUGAGUUCGACGGCCACUCUAGGUUGAUCAGCGGCCGCCAUUUCUCUGCAUCGUCGGGCCCAGGAGUGCGUGCUGUACAGCUGUGAACCUAUCCGGUCUCAACCGGGAGAACUAGACAACAAUAACACCACCAAAGGAAGAAGAGCCCCCGGCUCACCAGUGCAACUAUAGAGCGGGCCACAGAACCGGCACGACGAUCGCCGUGAAGUCCAGGAGUCAUCAGGACAAAUAACUCUGAACCUAUGCGAAAGAUAUAUGAUGUGUUUGUGGUGUCGAAGAAAUUCUGUCAGAAUGGAAUACUCGGAAAAAGCUUUCUUUUCUCUCAUUAGCAAUGCAUCCAUAAAAAACUUCCCUUGCACCAAACUUCGCGUGCAUCAAAAUACUUCGACAUGUAUACGGAGUGUGUUCCGCAGUACAAAAUAUUUUUUUUAUGUUGCCUGGCUCCCAGAAGACUCAAAUAUUACUGGGCAACCAGAAACACACAGACGUCCGUGUCUUUUUGUUGCGCAAUAAUACUUGAGAUUACCAACUUGGCCCAGAAUGCUGCUUUCAUUAACUCCCAGAAGAGUCCUUGAAUUCAAACACGAAAGUUUGCUUGCAGCAAUUUCCUUCUUUGUUUUUUCAUCCGGUUCACGGACAGCUAUCCUCUCAUUAGCUGCGAGCACUAUUUUUUUCCUUAGGAUACGUUUUUUUUAUUUCAUUUCAUUUAUUUGGGCAACACAAAUACAAGGUUUGCCCGCAAGGUAAGGCAAAAGGAGGGCGUCCUGACUAAGACCUUUACCUCGCUGGAGCAGCAGAAGUAGCAGUCUAGUGAUAAAACAAAGUACAAAUAAUAAGACAGAAAACUUCAAAACUAUUUAAAGCAACAUUUUCAACACAUUGAAAAGUUUCAACUGUUUGCCAAUAACAAGUAACUAAAUACAGCACAGCAAAAAUUAAGAACAUUCUGAUAUUAACAAAAGUUAUACAUUCAGAAUAUAACAUUAAUAACAUAACUAGUGACAAUAAACAAAGAAACUCUAUUACCAUUUGUUAAACACAGUGUGAUCAGAAAAUAUUAUGUACUGUAUUGCAUGUUUAAAUUUGUGAAUUGUUCUACAAUUUAUAGCUUCGUCAACUAUGUUAUGGUACGCAUUACAUAAAGACAUGGUUUCAUAUGCGAUCGUUUCCGUGACAUAUUUCGCCCUUGGUUUCUUUAUUACU
Molecule: long non-coding RNA, 1736 nt
Organism: Dermacentor albipictus
Lineage: Eukaryota; Metazoa; Arthropoda; Arachnida; Ixodida; Ixodidae
Source: RefSeq, a predicted model, not a curated record